RNAcentral lists this ribosomal RNA (253 nucleotides) under uncultured bacterium. Its description in RNAcentral is "partial 16S ribosomal RNA". It matches the Rfam family "Bacterial small subunit ribosomal RNA", at positions 524 to 776 of the family's 1533-position model. The record is from RNAcentral.
UACGUAGGGUGCAAGCGUUGUCCGGAAUCAUUGGGCGUAAAGCGCGUGUAGGCGGUCCGGUAAGUCCGCUGUGAAAGUCGGGGGCUCAACCCUCGGAUGCCGGUGGAUACUGUCGGGCUUGAGUACGGUAGAGGCGAGUGGAAUUCCUGGUGUAGCGGUGAAAUGCGUAGAUAUCAGGAGGAAUACCGAUGGCGAAGGCAGGUCUCUGGGCUGACACUGACGCUCAUGCACGAAAGCGUGGGGAGCAAACAGG